RNAcentral lists this ribosomal RNA (577 nucleotides) under Arthrinium sp. C30. RNAcentral describes it as "eukaryotic LSU rRNA". The stretch from base 208 to 361 matches the Rfam family "5.8S ribosomal RNA". Lineage: Eukaryota; Fungi; Ascomycota; Sordariomycetes; Amphisphaeriales; Apiosporaceae. The record is from RNAcentral.
CUGUAGCAGGACGCGGAGGGACAUUACAGAGUUAUACAACUCCCAUACCAUCUGUUAACCUACCCAGUUAUGCCUCGGCGUAAGCUCGGUUGGAGGCACCUGCAGCUACCCUGUAGUUGCGGACUGCCAACUCCAGCCGCGGCCCGCCGGCGGUACACUAAACUCUGUUUUAUUUUAUAUUCUGAGCGUCUUAUUUUAAUAAGUUAAAACUUUCAACAACGGAUCUCUUGGUUCUGGCAUCGAUGAAGAACGCAGCGAAAUGCGAUAAGUAAUGUGAAUUGCAGAAUUCAGUGAAUCAUCGAAUCUUUGAACGCACAUUGCGCCCAUCAGUAUUCUGGUGGGCAUGCCUGUUCGAGCGUCAUUUCAACCCUUAAGCCUAGCUUAGUGUUGGGAAUCUGCUGUACUGCAGUUCCUUAAAGACAGUGGCGGAGCGGCGGUAGUCCUCUGAGCGUAGUAAUUUAUUUCUCGCUUUUGUCAGGCUCUGUCCUCCCGCCAUAAAACCCCCAAUUUUUUAGUGGUUGACCUCGGAUCAGGUAGGAAUACCCGCUGAACUUAAGCAUAUCAAUAAGGCGGAGGA